RNAcentral lists this ribosomal RNA (200 nucleotides) under uncultured bacterium. RNAcentral describes it as "partial 16S ribosomal RNA". It matches the Rfam family "Bacterial small subunit ribosomal RNA", at positions 29 to 254 of the family's 1533-position model. The record is from RNAcentral.
AACGAACGCUGGCGGCAUGCCUAACACAUGCAAGUCGAACGAAUGGCUUCGGCCAUUAGUGGCGCACGGGUGAGUAACGCGUGGGAAUCUGCUCAGCAGUGGGGGAUAACCUCGGGAAACUGAGGCUAAUACCGCAUACGCCCCUCGGGGGAAAGGCUUGCUGCUGCUGGAGGAGCCCGCGUCGGAUUAGGUAGUUGGUG